This 292-nucleotide ribosomal RNA is filed under the name uncultured bacterium. RNAcentral describes it as "partial 16S ribosomal RNA". It matches the Rfam family "Bacterial small subunit ribosomal RNA", at positions 505 to 796 of the family's 1533-position model. The record is from RNAcentral.
GUGUCAGCCGCCGCGGUAAGACGAGCCACACGAACGUUAUUCGGAAUUACUGGGCUUAAAGGGUGCGUAGGCGGUGCGGAAAGUUGGGUGUGAAAUCCCUCGGCUCAACCGAGGAACUGCGCUCAAAACUACCGUACUUGAGGAAGAUAGAGGUGAGCGGAACUUACGGUGGAGCGGUGAAAUGCGUUGAUAUCGUAAGGAACACCCGUGGCGAAAGCGGCUCACUGGGUCUUUUCUGACGCUGAUGCACGAAAGCUAGGGGAGCAAACGGGAUUAGAUACCCCGGUAGUCC